AGCGAACGCUGGCGGCAUGCCUAACACAUGCAAGUCGCACGGGUCGGCUUCGGCCGGUCAGUGGCGUACGGGUGAGGAACGCGUAGGGAUCUGUCCUCUGGUGGGGGAUAACCGCGGGAAACUGCGGCUAAGACCGCAUGGGUCGCCGGUGUGAGAGCCGGUGUCAAAGGCGCGCAUCGCGAGGUGUGUGUCGCCGGGGGGUGAGCCUGCGUCCGAUUAGGUGGGUGGCGGGGUAGUGGCCCACCAAGGCGUCGAGCGGUAGCUGGUCUGAGAGGGUGCUCAGCCGCACUGGGACUGGGACACGGCCCAGACGGCUAGGGGCGGCAGGAGUGGGGGAUAUUGGACAGUGGGCGCAAGGCUGAUACAGCAAGGGCGGGUGGGUGGAGAAGGUGUUCGGAUUGUAAAGCCCUUUCGGCGGGGACGAUGGUGACGGUACGCGCAGAAGAAGCCCCGGCUAAUUUCGU
This 464-nucleotide ribosomal RNA is filed under the name uncultured bacterium. RNAcentral's name for it is "partial 16S ribosomal RNA". It matches the Rfam family "Bacterial small subunit ribosomal RNA", at positions 28 to 506 of the family's 1533-position model. The record is from RNAcentral.